This 497-nucleotide ribosomal RNA is filed under the name uncultured bacterium. Its description in RNAcentral is "partial 16S ribosomal RNA". It matches the Rfam family "Bacterial small subunit ribosomal RNA", at positions 28 to 507 of the family's 1533-position model. The record is from RNAcentral.
GAUGAACGCUGGCGGCGUGCCUAAUACAUGCAAGUCGAGCGAACGGACGAGAAGCUUGCUUCUCUGAUGUUAGCGGCGGACGGGUGAGUAACACGUGGAUACCCUACCUAUAAGACUGGGAUAACUUCGGGAAAACUUAGCUAACACCGGAUAAUAUUUUGAACCGCAUGGUUCAAAAGUGAAAGACGGACUUGCUGUCACUUAUAGAUGGAUCCGCGCUGCAUUAGCUAGUUGGUAAGGUAACGGCUUACCAAGGCAACGAUGCAUAGCCGACCUGAGAGGGUGAUCGGCCACACGGGAACUGAGACACGGCCCAGACUCUGGCGGGAGGCAGCAGUAGGGAAUCUUACGCGAUGGGCGAAAGCCUGACGGAGCAACGUCGCGUGAGUGAUGAAGGUCUUCGGAUCGUAAAACGCUGUUAUUAGGGAAGAAGAUAUGUCUAAGUGACUGUGCAGAUCUUGACGGUACCUAAUCAGAAAGCGACGGCUAACUACGUG